GGGGGGGUUACAUCAGAUCGGGCGGGCCUGUGCCCGUAUGGCCCGUCCGCCGCCUAUGCCCUUGGCUGGUCCAAAUACAUUUUUUUGAGAUUUAGAGCUUCAGUAGUAAUCAACACCGAAUAUUUGAAGCUUCGGAGGGAGGGGGCUGAACAUAUUCUUCUCUCAACACCGUGUCCACUGGACGCGCCGCGACAAAAUACAAUAGAACCCAUUAUGCAUUUUUAUUAUGUCGAGAACCGUUCAUCGAAUCGACUUCAUGCAUGGCGGGUGUGGUGCUGCGGACCCAAGGGAGUGCAGUGUCACAUUUUGGUGCAAUAUGGACAUACAGCAAGUUCAGAAUUAAUACAUUUUUAAUAAACUACAGAACAGCGAAUAAACAAUAUUAGAAUCUCAGAUUUGACAAUCGAAUGCCAACCCACCGAACGAAUAUUCGAAUAAUCGAUUCGAAUUGUUUGCUGCCCUAUUGUUUACUGCAACUUCCUCAUAUUAGUGUAGCCUAAUUUGAGAGAUUGUAUCCACUUAAUUAUUAUGUCUGGCACUCAUGUGUGCACUUGCUUACUUUGGUAAUUCUUUUCUGCUAUUUGUAUUGUUUUAAGCACUUUUUCCCCAAUCUGCAUAGUGCUAGUUGUCCAAGAAUUAGCUUUUACAAUGAGAAACAGAAAUAGGAAAUGUUUGGGUGUAAUCAUAUCAGUAAAGUUGUUCAGGAAGUCUGAGGAUGUUUGAGGAAUUCUGGGUGUGGUGGGCAAACACAAGGUCACUAUUGGACUUCAGUGCUUUUGGCUGCUGCAUAUUGUUUAAAGAAAAUAGGCUCUGUGUUAAAAGUUGAAGCAUUUUCUUUUAUCUGUGGGACUAUAAAUGUAAAGUAAGUUUGGAAGCUGUUGUGUUUGUAGGGAAUGAAAAAGGAGUGCGCAUUAGGUUGUAGACAACUGAAUGUUAUGAAAAUGAAGGGAAUUGUAUGUAUAUUCUUGACAUGUUCACUCAAAAAUGUUUUUCUGCAGCUGUGAUGUUUCUUGCAGACAUUAAAUAUUGCCAUUGAUAGCAUGAAAGUAUUGCUUACAGUGGUCUCUUUAUUUUUUAUUUAAUGCUAUAAGACAUUCAUUAUUGAGAGGGAGAGGGACAUGACAAACGAGUCACAGCUGUGAACCGGCUGCUUUGAUUCUAGUGUAGUCUGGUUCAUGUCAGUGCAAAAUUGAAUUGUUUAUUAUAUUAUACAAGGGACACUUUGUUGCUUUAAGUUAUAUUUUAUGAUGAAUAUUUUUGUGCACUUUCUGAAUCAUGUUCUCCUACAGCUAAAUGGUCUGUACCCUAAAUAACUCCCAGUGUGUGACUUUUAAGCCUUUAGAUAUGAAAUGAUCUGUUAAGUUGUACUACAGUAUAUUUAUUCUUGUGCAUUACUUAUGUAUUUCCUUUAAAUAAUGAAAAACUAAUACAAUUAUAUUUUUAUAGCACUUGAA
This is a long non-coding RNA of Cyprinus carpio carpio, 1454 nucleotides long. The record is from Ensembl. NCBI's taxonomy places the organism in Eukaryota, Metazoa, Chordata, Actinopteri, Cypriniformes, Cyprinidae.